RNAcentral lists this ribosomal RNA (440 nucleotides) under uncultured bacterium. RNAcentral describes it as "partial 16S ribosomal RNA". It matches the Rfam family "Bacterial small subunit ribosomal RNA", at positions 338 to 795 of the family's 1533-position model. The record is from RNAcentral.
CCUACAGGUGGCAGCAGUGGGGAAUAUUGCACAAUGGGGGAAACCCUGAUGCAGCGACGCCGCGUGAGUGAAGAAGUCCCUCGGUAUGUAAAGCUCUAUCUGCAGGGAAGAAAAUGACGGUACCUGAUUCAGAAGCCCCGGCUAACUACGGGCCAGCAGCCGCGGUCAUACGUAGGGGGCCAGCGUUAUCCGGAUUUACUGGGUGUAAAGGGAGCGUAGAUGGCAGAACAAGUCUAGAGUGAAAUGCCUGGGCUUAACCCCGGAACUGCUUUGGAAACUGGGCAGCUAGAGUGCAGGAGAGGAAAGUGGAAUGCGUGGUGUAGCGGUGAAAUGCGUAGAUAUUAGGAGGAACACCAGUGGCGAAGGCGGCUUACUGGACUGUAACUGACGUUGAGGCUCGAAAGCGUGGGGAGCAAACAGGAUUAGAUACCCUAGUAGUC